This 374-nucleotide ribosomal RNA is filed under the name uncultured organism. Its description in RNAcentral is "partial 16S ribosomal RNA". It matches the Rfam family "Bacterial small subunit ribosomal RNA", at positions 527 to 896 of the family's 1533-position model. The record is from RNAcentral.
GUAGGUGGCAAGCGUUGUCCGGAAUUAUUGGGCGUAAAGCGCGCGCAGGCGGGUCCUUUAAGUCUGAUGUGAAAGCCCGCGGGCUCAACCGUGGAGGGUCAUUGGAAACUGGGGGACUUGAGUACAGAAGAGGAAAGCGGAAUUCCUAGUGUAGCGGUGAAAUGCGUAGAGAUUUGGAGGAACACCAGUGGCGAAGGCGGCUUUCUGGUCUGUAACUGACGCUGAGGCGCGAAAGCGUGGGGAGCAAACAGGAUUAGAUACCCUGGUAGUCCACGCCGUAAACGAUGAGUGCUAAGUGUUAGGGGGUUUCCGCCCCUUAGUGCUGCAGCUAACGCAUUAAGCACUCCGCCUGGGGAGUACGGCCGCAAAGGCUG